CCCUUUGUAGCUCAGUUGGAACAGCGAAGGACUGUAAAUUCUAAAGAUAUCCUUAGGUCCCUGGUUCGAUCUCAGGCGAAGGGA
Non-coding RNA from Entomophthora muscae, 84 nucleotides. NCBI's taxonomy places the organism in Eukaryota, Fungi, Entomophthoromycota, Entomophthoromycetes, Entomophthorales, Entomophthoraceae. The record is from the annotation of a GenBank genome assembly.